AGGCCCAGCAAAUUUUGAAAGAAACUGGAGUUUUCCCAUAGGACCACAGAGAGAACUUCAAAGAAUCCCUUUGGAAUCAAUUAGUGCCUACAAAUAUUUAUCUAAGAAGUCACUCAAAGAUAUUUGACAGGUAAAUACUUAAAUUCAAUGAUGCUCAAUAACACAACCCUGGGAAGAGAGUAUUUAUUUUUUUAAAGAUAUUACAACACUAAGUAUUUGAUAAUUGUAUGAAAAUGGUAUUAACAAGUUGGAGUGUUAUGACCUCCAUGAUGUAUCUCCAAAUUACACUUGCAGUUAUUCCAUUCAGGUGCAUACCUAGAACAGUGGAAUAUCCAAUGAAGCUAAGUUAUAUGGUCUAAUUUUCAAUGAGGUGGACAUAACUAUUAAGGUCAUAUUGACUCUUUUCAUGGAAAAAGAGUAAUAGUUAGAGAAUACCUACUAUGAGUCAGCAACUCCAAAUGUUUUCUCCUGAAAUGUUUCCAACAACCUAAAGAGGUGGGCAUGGUUUCCACAUCACAAAGUAGAACACCAAGGCUGAGCUUAGAGGCAGAGUCAAGAACUAGGUCCAAUACAUAUCCAAACCAACUGAAAUCAGGAUGCCAUAGAGACAUUUGCACUCUGAGGUUCACUGCAGCAUUAUUCAUAUAUAUAUAUAUAUGCUAAGUGAGAUAAGCCAUCAGAGAAAGACACUUAAAUACUGUAUGAUCUCACUUAUAUGUGGAGUCUGUAAAUUCCAAACUCAGAGAAGCAAAGAGUAAGGCAGAUUAGCAGCGGCUGGGAGGGGAGGAGGGAAUAGGGAGAUAGUGGUCAAAGGGUACAAACUUCCAGUUAUAAGACCAACAGAUUCUGGGGAUCUAAGAAUACAAGGAUUCUUAAAGAUGGUUUUAUCAUAUCUUUGCAUCAAUAUUUUUCUUGAAGGACUCAAAUAACAAUGCAAGUUAUAAGAAAUACCUUUAAAAGCGCCCUUUUCCUAUUUAGGGUGAAAACAAGCUAUAUGUAUCUGUUCCAAUUUAUAUGUACUUGAGGUAAGAAUAGUAGGCAUAGUUAAUAGGUUAUAACCACGUUAGACAAUCUAGAUGUAUUUGUGCAUUUACUAAUUAUAGCUCAGAGAUAACUCUGGGCUCUUUUAUAAGCCCAAUGGCUGUGAACGUAUGAUAAUAGUUUGUCAGCUGCAUUAUUUUCCAACUACCCUUGAUGGAAACAUGUAAUUACUGGAACUAUGAAAGUAAAUGCAUUUGAAUUAAAGCACACCACAUUGUCAACUUUAUGGCUAUAAAUUCUAUAAGUCACGUUGGAAUGAAAAACAUGUAAUGACUUAGCUGCUUUAAGAGAGGAAUAUCAUAUAACAUAGGAGCUAAAACCUAACGAUGGUUUAAUAAGAGUACUUGACUCAAUUAUUAUAAAAAUACGCAUACCUGCAGGAAUGAACACAGUUGUGGUUACAAUGAAAUUUUAAAUAAAAACCAGGGCCUUUAAAACACAGACCAACUGUUCCAAAGCUACUGAGAAAGUUUAUUAAUUUAAACCAUGGCUCAUAGGAUAAUAUUUAAUAAGCAGCCAGUCUUCUUCUAUGAUGACAAAUCACACCUCGAAAUUGCCUCAUCGUCAUAAAACCCUCGAGCUAGGCAAGACCCUGAGCUGUCCUUCAGCUUCGGCCAACAAAAAUAUCAGCAAUAAGUACAGCUCGCAAUCCACCUGCAGCACAGUCUAAAUGAAGGUAAAUAAGGCAUUCAUGCAAGAAAUUAACACAUGGCAGAAAAUAAUACUGAGCUCCAGGGCAAAAAUCAGUCUUAUGUCACGGUCGAAAAAAAUCAAAGAAUAUAACUUAGUCUAUGAAAUCCUUAAACAGUAUCUCAUUAAUAUAAUACAGAGCUUUACUCCAGGGACACAUAUUUUUAAAAUAUUUAUUUUAAUCUUACUUUAUCAUGCCCUUAAAGGAACUCUUCACUGUCUAGAAAUACAACAGAAAAACUCUAACCGCUGGUUUUCAUCUAGUUAUUAAAUCUCUCUGAUAGUAUGUCUUUUUCUAUUAAUAUUAGUCAUUAUUUUGGUUACUUCUAUCACACUGAUUUAGAAGGUAAAUGAACAUUCUGUUCCAAUAUGCUCAGUUUUUGUUUGCAUUCACAUAUAGAAAUAUAAUUUCUCAUGUGCUAAUGAGUAACAAAUUUCAGACUAUGAAGCCACUGGGACAGCUCUCAUAAGGAUUCAUCAAUAUGUACAAAAUAAAGUGAGCUAGUUUUAUAUACACAUGUAAAAUGAUGAUCUUUAGCAAGUCAACUAGCUAUUUUAUACUAUGACAUCUUGUUCUGAUGCUUUGGGGUUGGUCUGCAGAAGCACAAAAUAAGGUGAAAUCAAAGCAAAGCUGAACCCGAGGACAGAUUCUGUAAAGAAGUGCGCAGGGAAAGAAUGGGUAGUAUGUUAUGGGUGCAUGUCUAAAGUCUGAUGGCAAAAAGAAAAUCAUAAGUGAAUUUUUCAUUUCCUUAUCCAGACUCCCUUAUGACUCCAAAGCAGAGUAAGAAAUGCCUAGUGAUGUUGAUCCCAGAAGUUAGGUAACAGUAGGGCAGAUCAUACAAACAUUCAGCUUAAAUCUAAAAUGCUGACUGAUUUUAAUAUAAAACUUUGAAAAACCUUCCUAAAAAACUACAUAUGUGUGUACCAGUGUAAUCCAUGCAGUGUACAGCUUACGUAGAUCUUUCUUGUGCCUUAUAUUUUCAAAUGACUUCAGCCAAUGGUGGCCAGCCUGGCAGACUAAACUGGAACUUUAGGCCCAUGAGUGCCAGGCUGCUAAAACCCUCAAGAGGGAUCUACAACUUUAUCCUGGGUGAAAUAUUUUCUUCAGUAUAUGCUUCCUUGCUAUUAUAUCUCUUUCUGUUACUUAUUUCAUGUUCUGAUAAGCAAUUUGGGCUCAUAAUGACAGACAAAUAUAGACUACACCUGCUAGCAGGAAACAAAGAAAAUGCAUAGCACUGGUUGUCAACACACCUGUGUUAAGAUGCUCAAAGUUCUUUCCAGAAAAUGGUUGAGGAAACAUUGGAUAACUAUCUUCAGGAAGUUCAGUACUGGUAGAAACCUCCUGGAAUUAUGAAAGGCAUCAUGGACUAACUGGAGCCCAGAAGGCUGGGACAACAUUUGCACAGUCA
RNAcentral lists this long non-coding RNA (3140 nucleotides) under Sus scrofa (pig). Its description in RNAcentral is "lncRNA (ENSSSCG00060034131.1)". The record is from RNAcentral. Lineage: Eukaryota; Metazoa; Chordata; Mammalia; Artiodactyla; Suidae.